This 492-nucleotide ribosomal RNA is filed under the name uncultured bacterium. RNAcentral's name for it is "partial 16S ribosomal RNA". It matches the Rfam family "Bacterial small subunit ribosomal RNA", at positions 29 to 507 of the family's 1533-position model. The record is from RNAcentral.
AGUGAACGCUGGCGGUAGGCCUAACACAUGCAAGUCGAACGGCAGCACAGUAAGAGCUUGCUCUUACGGGUGGCGAGUGGCGGACGGGUGAGGAAUACAUCGGAAUCUACUUUUUCGUGGGGGAUAACGUAGGGAAACUUACGCUAAUACCGCAUACGACCUACGGGUGAAAGCAUGGGAUCUUCGGACCUUGCGCGAUUGAAUGAGCCGAUGUCGGAUUAGCUAGUUGGCGGGGUAACGGCCCACCAAGGCGACGAUCCGUAGCUGGUCUGAGAGGAUGAACAGUCACACUGGAACUGAGACACGGUCCAGACUCCUACGGGAGGCAGCAGUGGGGAAUAUUGGACAAUGGGCGAAAGCCUGAUCCAGCAAUACCGCGUGGGUGAAGAAGGCCUUCGGGUUGUAAAGCCCUUUUGUUGGGAAAGAAAAGCAGCAGGUUAAUACCCCGCUGUUCUGACGGUACCCAAAGAAUAAGCACCGGCUAACUUCGUG